CCUACGGGAGGCAGCAGUGAGGAAUAUUGGUCAAUGGACGAAAGUCUGAACCAGCCAUGCCGCGUGAAGGAAGACGGCUCUAUGAGUUGUAAACUUCUUUUAUACGAGGGUAAAAGCAGACACGCGUAUCUGUCUGCAAGUAUCGUACGAAUAAGGAUCGGCUAACUCCGUGCCAGCAGCCGCGGUAAUACGGAGGAUUCAAGCGUUAUCCGGAUUUAUUGGGUUUAAAGGGAGCGUAGGCGGGUGGAUAAGUUAGAGGUGAAAGCUUGAGGCUCAACUUCAAAAUUGCAUCUGAUACUGGCAGUCUAGAGAGUAGUUGAGGUAGGCGGAAUGUAUGGUGUAGCGGUGAAAUGCUUAGAUAUCACACAGAACCCCGAUUGCGAAGGCAGCUUACCAAGCUACGUCUGACGUUGAGGCUCGAAAGUGUGGGGAUCAAACAGGAUUAGAUACCCUGGUAGUC
Molecule: ribosomal RNA, 460 nt
Filed under: uncultured bacterium
Lineage: Bacteria
Description: partial 16S ribosomal RNA
Rfam family: Bacterial small subunit ribosomal RNA
Source: RNAcentral